AUUUUAGUGGUGUAAGUAAACACGAUUCAUUUUCAAUGAAUUGAUAGGAUUUUCCUUUAAAAUU
This 64-nucleotide transfer RNA is filed under the name Cypridopsis vidua. RNAcentral's name for it is "tRNA-Glu". The record is from RNAcentral. Lineage: Eukaryota; Metazoa; Arthropoda; Ostracoda; Podocopida; Cyprididae.